Molecule: ribosomal RNA, 241 nt
Filed under: Oreasteridae sp. NCY2
Lineage: Eukaryota; Metazoa; Echinodermata; Asteroidea; Valvatida; Oreasteridae
Description: partial 28S ribosomal RNA
Rfam family: Eukaryotic large subunit ribosomal RNA
Source: RNAcentral
GCGGGAACUGUGGCGUAAGGAAGUCCGGUCCGGCGGUCGCGGCGGCGCCGAGGUCCUUCUGAUCGAGGCCCCCUCCGUCCCGUGGCGGGUGUCAGGCCCCUGCGGGCGCCGCCCGGCGGCCGACCAGGGCUUCCGGGAGUCGGGUUGUUUUGUAGCGCAGCCCAAAGGCGGGUGGUAAACUCCAUCCAAGGCUAAAUACCGGCACGAGACCGAUAGAGCACAAGUACCAUGAGGGAAAGUA